AAUGAACGCUGGCGGCGCGCCUAAUACAUGCAAGUCGAGCGAGAAGACGUAGCAAUACGUUUGUAAAGCGGCGAACGGGUGAGGAAUACAUGGGUAACCUACCCUCGAGUGGGGAAUAACUAGCCGAAAGGUUAGCUAAUACCGCGUACGCUUCUUGGACUUCGGUUCAGGGAGGAAAGCGAUGCCGAGGGUAUCGCGCUCUUGGAUGGGCUCAUGUCCUAUCAGCUUGNGGUGAGGUAACGGCUCACCAAGGCUUCGACGGGUAGCUGGUCUGAGAGGACGAUCAGCCACACUGGCACUGCGACACGGGCCAGACUCCUACGGGAGGCAGCAGUAAGGAAUAUUGCGCAAUGGGCGAAAGCCUGACGCAGCGACGCCGCGGUGGGGGA
RNAcentral lists this ribosomal RNA (389 nucleotides) under uncultured bacterium. RNAcentral's name for it is "bacterial SSU rRNA". It matches the Rfam family "Bacterial small subunit ribosomal RNA", at positions 29 to 408 of the family's 1533-position model. The record is from RNAcentral.